UCCUACGGGAGGCAGCAGUGGGGGAUAUUGCACAAUGGGGGGAACCCUGAUGCAGCCAUGCCGCGUGUGUGAAGAAGGCCUUCGGGUUGUAAAGCACUUUCAGUUGUGAGGAAAGGUUAGUAGUUAAUACCUGCUAGCUGUGACGUUAGCAACAGAAGAAGCACCGGCUAACUCCGUGCUAGCAGCCGCGGUAAUACGGAGGGUGCGAGCGUUAAUCGGAAUUACUGGGCGUAAAGCGCACGCAGGCGGUUUGUUAAGCUAGAUGUGAAAGCCCCGAGCUCAACUUGGGAUGGUCAUUUAGAACUGGCAGACUAGAGUCUUGGAGAGGGGAGUGGAAUUUCUAGUGUAGCGGUGAAAUGCGUAGAUAUUAGAAGGAACAUCAGUGGCGAAGGCGACUCCCUGGCCAAAGACUGACGCUCAUGUGCGAAAGUGUGGGUAGCGAACAGGAUUAGAUACCCUGGUAGUCCACACCGUAAACGCUGUCUACUAGCUGUGUGUGUCUUUAAGACGUGCGUAGCGAAGCUAACGCGCUAAGUAGACCGCCUGGGGAGUACGGCCGCAAGGUUAAAACUCAAAUGAAUUGACGG
This 587-nucleotide ribosomal RNA is filed under the name uncultured bacterium. RNAcentral describes it as "bacterial SSU rRNA". It matches the Rfam family "Bacterial small subunit ribosomal RNA", at positions 337 to 916 of the family's 1533-position model. The record is from RNAcentral.